GCCGGGUGCAGUGGCGUGCGCCUGUAAUCCAAGUUGCUGGGAGGCUUAGGCUGGCGGAUCGUUUGAGCUCAGGAGUUCUGAGCUCCAGUGGACUAUGCCGAUCGGGUGUCCGCACUAAGUUCGGUAUCGAUAUGGUGCUCCUGGGGGAGCCCGGGACCACCAGGUCGUCUAAGGAGGGGUGCACCGGCCCAGGUCGGAAACGGAGCAGGCCAAAGCCCCCGUGCCGCUCAGUAGUGGGAUCGCGCCUGUGAAUAGACGCUGUAGUACAGCCUGAGCAAUACAGCGGGACCCAGUCUUUU
This is an unclassified non-coding RNA of Salmo trutta (river trout), 299 nucleotides long. It matches the Rfam family "Metazoan signal recognition particle RNA". Rfam says of the family: The signal recognition particle (SRP) is a universally conserved ribonucleoprotein. NCBI's taxonomy places the organism in Eukaryota, Metazoa, Chordata, Actinopteri, Salmoniformes, Salmonidae. The record is from Ensembl.